This 465-nucleotide ribosomal RNA is filed under the name uncultured bacterium. Its description in RNAcentral is "partial 16S ribosomal RNA". It matches the Rfam family "Bacterial small subunit ribosomal RNA", at positions 28 to 507 of the family's 1533-position model. The record is from RNAcentral.
GACGAACGCUGGCGGCGUGCUUAACACAUGCAAGUCGAACGGAAAGGCCCCCUUGUGGGGUACUCGAGUGGCGAACGGGUGAGUAACACGUGAGUAACCUACCCUUGACUUUGGGAUAACUUCAGGAAACUGGGGCUAAUACCGGAUAGGAGCUCCUGCUGCAUGGUGGGGGUUGGAAAGUUUCGGCGGUUGGGGAUGGGCUCGCGGCUUAUCAGCUUGUUGGUGGGGUAGUGGCUCACCAAGGCUUUGACGGGUAGCCGGCCUGAGAGGGUGACCGGCCACAUUGGGACUGAGAUACGGCCCAGACUCCUACGGGAGGCAGCAGUGGGGAAUAUUGCACAAUGGGCGGAAGCCUGAUGCAGCAACGCCGCGUGCGGGAUGACGGCCUUCGGGUUGUAAACCGCUUUCGCCUGUGACGAAGCGUGAGAGACGGUAAUGGGUAAAGAAGCACCGGCUAACUACGUG